This 2076-nucleotide long non-coding RNA is filed under the name Triticum aestivum (bread wheat). RNAcentral describes it as "long non-coding RNA (TAES_LNC015198)". The record is from RNAcentral. Lineage: Eukaryota; Viridiplantae; Streptophyta; Magnoliopsida; Poales; Poaceae.
GGAUCAUUCGUUCUAGGGUGGAUUAAUAGCGACGAAUGUAUGUUGUUGCAAUUUUGUUGAGAUAUGCUCAAAGAUUAGCACUAAAUUUAAAUUUUACUACCUCUGUUUCUAGAUGUAGGAUUUAGGAACAGAGGGUCUACAUGUUUGUAGAUGUUAACUCUCUGCCAUACUGUAUUCUUUUUCAGAAUUUUUAGAACAUCUGAAAUAUGGUUUUCACUUGGUUCCCAUUUUAAUAUGGAUACUGAGUAGUGAGACGUUAAUAUUUUACAUGUUUGUAGAAGAAUGACACUUCUUGCCUCUUUGGCAAAUAUGAGUAGUGACAGACAUAUAUUUCAUUUAAUCUUACCUGCAAGAAGAGUCCGUUUGGCACCAUAAUCCGCAUCCUGUCCUUGCCGGCGUUGCGCACUAACCGAAACGUCUCUGACUUCCCCGGGGACGUCGCCGUGGCCACCACCAAGCCGUCACUCUGAACGCCCACGAACUGGUUGCCAAACACCUUCAAAUUGAACGUCGUCUCAUUGAUCCGCCAUAGCAAUCCCUUUUCUAUCUUCAGUUUAUAUUGUAUGAGGAGUACUAAUGAACAAGUUUUGUUCACCCACUCAUUCUUGCUUCAGCUUCACCACUUUUGUUGGUGGUGCAUAAUCACAACCACCACCAGCAGACACUUGUUGGACCUACCCUCAAACUAGUUCCACAAAUAUGCCUCACUGUACCAACCUUCUACAGCAGUACAAUCACGAUAAUUUCUACUAGUUCCACAAGAAAAUUCAUUUCUUUUCUCAUGUGAUUUUGCUCAUGCCAUAUAGAUAUUAAUACUCACCAGUUUAUGACAUCUCUGCAGCAGCAGCAGCAGCAGCAGCACCAACUCGUUCAAGGGACAGGGGCUGCUUCUUCCUUCCCACCAACUCGUACUGGUUCCUUCGGGGUGCUUCUGAAUCGAUCUGCACAGCUGAUUUUUGCCUAUUGCUCUGUUUGCCUGCAGGGGAGGUACCGCUGGAGCUCUAAGGCGGCCUUAAACACCACCGAUCUGGUCGGAGGUUGGGCAGAUAAGGCCCUGCGUCUCCUGCUCCUUCCCAUGUACGUGUUCAUCCCAGUCUCUGACUCUUUGUCCAGACUUAACUACAUAGCGGCUACCUAGUAUGGAUAUGCUUACGAGCUAGCCGGAUUGGAUUAUGUAGCCUAUCUCAAUGCUUAAUUAGUCUGGCGGUUUGUUGCACGCAUACAUGCAUGCAUCAUGGUAGAGAAUUGAAAUCACUAGCUCUAGCUACUUCGUGGUUGAAUGGUUUUCUUAUUUGGAUGAAAACCAGGUAGUGUAGUUAUUUUUUAUAGUUUAUACACAUACUACACUAUUAAUUAAAGGUUGUAACCUCACUGUCACGCUAAUGGACGCAAAAAAUAAGAGUGGUAGUACUAUCAAUGGUUCAGUCAGCGCCUCAACAGCGUCUGCACUACUUCUGAUACUGUUUUUCAGUAGCUUUUUUCUGCACCUUUUUCUUUCAGUUCUUAGUGCUGCUGCCCCAUGAACACAUUUUUUUAAUUUGACUGUACAUUCAAAUGAAGCCUUUGUUAAGUAUACACUCCAAAAUUCAGUCAACAGUAGCCUAACUGAAUUUUCUGUUUCUGAAUUUAUGAACUCGCUUUAUAUUCAGUUUAUAAAUUAACAGUAGCUUCAAAAUUAAGUAUCAUUCGCAUGGAUCAACUGUUAUUUUAUUUUGUGGAGGAUAAAGUUCAGAUCAUGAAUAAUGGCAUUACAAGUGAACCUGGCACAAUUACACAUGUCCUAAACCUCAUAGAAUCUGACACUAGCAAGUCUUCAUUGGCAUGCAAGUACUACUUUUACAUUGUCAUGACAGGAACAAUUAAUUUGACAUGUAUCAUUGGUACUGCUAAAACAUUUCGUUCAUGUUUCAACAAAUUUGGUGAAGACCACUUCAUAUGUAUUUUGCAUAUAUGAAUUAUCUCCUGUUGCUUUCUAAGAUGUUAGUUCUUUCAGUUCUAGCCCUCCUAUCUUUAAUUCCUGGCUGCUGGACUACCUGCAGUACAACGAGUUCAUCUGUGACAGCUAUCGCUGUGAGC